This 737-nucleotide long non-coding RNA is filed under the name Mytilus galloprovincialis (Mediterranean mussel). The record is from RNAcentral. Lineage: Eukaryota; Metazoa; Mollusca; Bivalvia; Mytilida; Mytilidae.
GUAACUUACACAGCAUCCAGAAUGUUAAAGAGUUUCUGGAGUCGGCUACUAAUCUAUGUAAACAAUUUGGUAAGCUUAAAACAAAUUACUUUAUUGAUUUGUUAGUAAAAUUCCAGGAUAAUUUUUAAACUAUUAUUAUAAUGUUGAAUACUGCCUUAUACAUGUAUACUGUUAUAAUGCAAAACUAAAUCAAAUAUUUGUAACAAUACAUAAAGCACUUAUAUCAUUUGACAUGCUGUAAAAGGACCAAAAACAAGAUGUCUGAAGAAACAUGUCUUUUUCUAAAUAUUUCACAAAAAAAUACUAAUUGAAGAAUUCCCAAUAUUUCAUCAUUUUCAUAGCUGGUAUACAUGGUAUAUGCAUUAUAGCAUAAAAUAACGGGCAUUAAAAAAAAUGUAAGAAAUUUUAUAUUUGCUUUUAAAACAAAAUAUAUUAACUAAAAUUAUUUCGAUUAUAGAAAAUAUUUUAAUUAAAUUUUACUUUCAGUCCUGAAGAUUGCUAAAUUAAACACCUCAAUUGCCGGUAACACAACGAAAGUGGAUGGUUUCGUACGUAAAGAUUUGCUCUCUCAGAAAACAUUUAAAAAACGAAAGAUUCAAUUCGAAGUACCUUGCACAUGUCAACUGAACACAAGACCAAUUAUCCUUCUAACAAAUCUGAAAGAUUAUAGCAAACUUUUGAGAUUAGGUGACGGUAACCUAAUUAUUCCAUGGAGCAAAAGAGCAAGCAAUUACCUU